AUCUCCCCCAGUACUCUCACCUCUCCUCUCCACUCACUCAACCUCUCUCGCCCCUCUCCCGGUCUCCCCUCCCCCGCCGCAUCCGCUGCGCGUGACCACAAGCUCCUGCCGCAACCGCGCGACUCUGCCCGCCGACCACCGCAUCCGUCGCAUGCAUCGGCGGUUUCCGCACGACGAAGGUCAUGGCUGGUCCCGCGACGGCCUCGGCUGGAGGAGGACGAUAGGUCCAUAGCGACGGACGCUCAAGUAAGAGGAGCGGCCCAAUGGCGGCGGCCUCGAGCACGGGGAUAAGUGCAGGCUGGGGAUGCAGGAGAGGUGCAGCGCGGGGUUUGGAGCUCCCACGAGCUGGGUGCGGCGCAUCCGACGGCGACAGACACAGGGACGCGUUGAUCCGGGUGUGGGUGCUCAAUUCGGUCCCGUUCUGGCCGGAUCCGCGGCGGUGCUCAUCUCCGGCGAGGUGGCCUGUGACUCGCGGGACGACGGCGGCGCAAGACCACAGGAGGGGCUCAUCUCAUGGGACAGGGGCGCGAGGUCUUGUUGGCUUCGGUUGUCGGUGGCUUGACGCAGGGGUGGCCGGGGUCCGGCGCCAUGGAGGCUCUUCGAGGACGAGGAAGCAGACAGCGACGACAACUUUGAGGCCGGCGGGGGCGCCGUCUCCGCGUUCGAUGGUCGGGGUCCAACGCGGCCGCCGUUGGCUCCAUCCCCUACAGUUAUCAUGCGGAUAAGAGAACCAAAAACUACCACAUUGAUAUCUGCUUCAGGAAAAAUGGUUUGCACUAGAGCAAAAAGUGAACAGCAAUGUAAACUCGUAGCUAGAAAGGUCAAAUAUUUGACGAUGUUUUCUUCUCCCAACCUGGCAAGGUAUUGUACUACCUACAUGCAUCACUGGAAGGAGUAAGAAGUCAGUUGGAGUGAGAAGUGAGACAAGUACCAUGAGCUCAAGUGAUUCAUUCACCAAGCUGGUAAACGCAUAAACUUCAAAAAAAAUCAUCUCAAUAAGGUAUGCAAGUAAUUUAUUUUGGGUGUUUGAAUUUUCACAUUUUGGGUUUUGUUUUCAGUCCAUUAUAUAUUCUAGGGACAAACUUCAUCUCAUUUCUUAGACCAACUAAUAUUUAACUACAGGAUCAGAUUCGCGUAAAGUAAUUUGCAAUGUUUAUUCGAUUUUGUGCAUGACAAGGGGCAAGUAGAAUUUUUUCUGUAUGCACUUAGCAAGAUUAAAAUAACAGGCACAAAGUGAAUCAAGUGUGUUCAACAAGCAAUUUAAAAGUGAAAGUAGAUAAACAACUUACUGAUCCACAUAGAAGAGUGCCGAGUAUUGAGAUUUGAUUUGCCGCAUUGCAAUGGUCCGCUAUGGUCCUGCAGUAAUAUGUGUAUGACAGCAAAAGGAUCUUCAAAUCAGUAUGUACACUUAACUUAUCCAUUAUAAUUCGAUAUAUUAUAUGAGAUAACUUGAACAUCUUUAGAAACCAGUGUGAAAAAAUAUAUAGCAGCCAAAUCGCAUUACAAUACUAUUACGUGUGGAUUUUCAUAUGCACAUUCCCAGACGCUACAAACUUGAUCAGAGCCGAAAGCAAGGAAAUGCACAUCACAGUUGCAAUGACGCUAGGAGAAGCCUCUCCACAUCUGCAUGUUGAGAGACUUGAGCUAUUAAUUUUGCAGGCACUCCACACAAGCACAUGCAUGUUAAGUGAGGGUAUACGUUAUCAUUUUGGGUAUGAUCGAAUGGAAAUACCUGUUCAUGUCAUCCUCUGAUCCACUGAUCCAAAUCAUCCUGCAAAGCUCAUGCAUAAUGGUUUAGGAAAUAAGGUAUAGAUGCUCAAGGACAAGAUUGAUAGCUAACAAAUAGUUGAUGCUUACAAUUAGCCUGUGGUCUCCUCCUCCAACAUGUGUUUCCUGUUUGAGCGUUGUGAAAGGUCAGGAGGUCCAGGCAGGUCAAGGCGAUGGCGACCUUUGACUUUGGAAAUGCAAACCCCCUAUCGGUGGCCCUCUCCACAACAUCAUCCAACAUAUUGACGUUUAGCUGGCAGAAAGGAACUAUACACAUUUAGCAAGGAAAUCUAGGAACAAGAAAAUAGACCGGUCGGCAUGUAUGAUUAAGGAUAAAGAAUGCACUAACUUUCAAACUGUUUUGAUGCCUGACCACAUAUAUUGUCAACAUGGAAAUUCUGGUUUCUGAAAUCAGUUUCCUUGCUCAGUAGAACGCCUAUUAUGAAAUCUGUUUGUUCUAGAGCUGAGUGCAGACAUCACUUUUGUUAACCGUGAUGCUAUAAUACUCGGGAAAAUUGUGUUAUUAGGAAAUUGGUCAAGGCAUAUAGCUCCAUCUAUGCUCCCACAGACAUAAGAUGAUGAGACUAUUAUAAACAAAUUCAUCUUGUUUUCUGCAGUUCUGAAAUCUGUAAUGCAAUGUUUCACUUGUUUGGUCCUCUCUUUUUCAUAUGAUGUUCUUGGUUUGUGUCUUCGACAAUGCACAGGCAGUAAACUGCAUGCAUUACAACCUUAGAUUAGUAAGUUGUAACUUUUGCAGCCAAUAAAAAUAUAGGUAAUUAACGCAAUCAACCUUAGAUUAGAUGUUUUGUAUGUGUCAUCAAUGCACGCACUCACUGGAUUAUUACUUAUUUUGGCCUACAAACUGUUGUUUAAAUGUUUAUCAUGCAUCCAUCUUCCAUUAUAAUUCUGGUAAUCCUUUGCUCCCUUCAUUUUAACUAAACCUUUUCUUCAGAUCUGUGAAAGCCAUAUAAUUUGCAUGCUCCAAUUUAAUUUUAACUAUAAUGGAAUAGGUUACUUUUCUGGUUUCAUUUUAACUAUCAUGGAACAGGUUACUUUUCUGGUUUAGUGUAUCUUUUUGGAUCUACCUUGAACUAAGCGCAAUUGCUUUAUUAUAAACCAUUGAUCCAAAAUGCAUAGUGCAUCUUAUUGUUCGGCGAAAAACUUUCCUGGUUGACACUAGCUAAACCAUCUUUUCACAAAAUCCUGCUAUUCUCUCUGUACAUUUGCUUCACUUAUUUUGUUGUCUCAGUUUGAUAAUUCGGUUAUGGUUGAAAAUGUAAAAAGAUUAGUGUCCUGUUUAUUGUGUUUCCGUGUGAACUUGUUCUGAACAGCACGUGCUGAACCUUAUGGUUUGCAGUUUUGUCAGAGAUAUGUUUUGCUAGGCUGGAAGCUUGCGAGAUCUUCAGAUUAUCCUAAUUGCUUCUACAUAGAAGGUGCAGCCAUCGCAUGGUUCCAAAUGUCUCAUUGAUCCAAAAUGCAUAGUGCAUCUAUUUGCUUUCCUGGUUGACACUAUAGCUAAACCAUUGCUUCACGAAAUCAUGCUAUUCUCUCUGUACAUUUGCUUCACUUAUUAUGUUUGGUCAAUUUGUUAUUUCGGUUAUGGUUGAAAAAUGCAAAAAGAUUAGCUGUUUUACUUAUUCUGAACCUUA
Long non-coding RNA from Triticum urartu, 3416 nucleotides. RefSeq lists it as uncharacterized. Lineage: Eukaryota; Viridiplantae; Streptophyta; Magnoliopsida; Poales; Poaceae. The record is from RefSeq and is a predicted model, not a curated record.